CAAACAACUUUUUGCAACAGAUAUCUCGGUUCUUGCAUUGAUGAAGAACGUAGCGAAAUGCGAUACUUGGUGUGAAUUGUAGAAUGUCGUGAGCCAUUGAGUCUUUGGACGCAAGUUGCGCCUAAAGCUGUCAAGCCGAGGGCACGUUUGCCUAGGCAGCAAAC
Molecule: ribosomal RNA, 164 nt
Filed under: Haldina cordifolia
Lineage: Eukaryota; Viridiplantae; Streptophyta; Magnoliopsida; Gentianales; Rubiaceae
Description: 5.8S ribosomal RNA
Rfam family: 5.8S ribosomal RNA
About the family: 5.8S ribosomal RNA (5.8S rRNA) is a component of the large subunit of the eukaryotic ribosome. It is transcribed by RNA polymerase I as part of the 45S precursor that also contains 18S and 28S rRNA.
Source: RNAcentral